This 819-nucleotide ribosomal RNA is filed under the name Triticum aestivum (bread wheat). RNAcentral describes it as "partial small subunit ribosomal RNA". The record is from RNAcentral. Lineage: Eukaryota; Viridiplantae; Streptophyta; Magnoliopsida; Poales; Poaceae.
GUGCUUAAAGGACGCUGCCUUGAUCUUGGCUUAGCCACCUCUUUUGCCACAACCAGCAUGACAACCACAACUACACCGGCCGCCGAACAAGUCUCGUUACUACCGGAGGACACCAUCUUCGAGAUCCUAUCCUGGCUGCCGGCGAAGUCCCUGUGCCAAUCCCGGUGUGUGUCCAAGAAUUGGCACAUCCUCGUCUCCAACCAGGCCUUCGUUGCCGUGCACAGUUCCCGUGCCGAACCGCUCCUCGUUACCGUUACCACCGAUAGAGUCCCCUUUAUGGCUGUAGCGGUGCUGCGGCUCAUGGACAUGGAGGGCAACGUGGUGAAGGUGGUGCAAACCUGUGGUGUGUUCCGGAGUUUCUUCCUGAGCUUCGAUGGCCUCGCAUGUCUCAUCUUCGGCCACCAAUGUGAUACCAAGGCCCAGGUGAUUGAUCUAGCCACUGCAAAGGUCCUCAUGUCUAGCUAUAAACGGCCCGAGUUUGCCGGCAAGUGGAUAGACAAAUGCUCUGGCUUCGGACGCACCGCCCAGUCCGGUGUGCACAAGAUCUUCGGCGUCAUCCUCGAGUCCGCGAUAACCGGCCUCUACAAUUGUGUGGUUCUCACGGUAGGAGAUGACGAUGCCGAGUGGAGGCCCACGCAGCCGCCCCCACACUCAAUCUCUGCCGUCUACGACAGCUACAGCGAAGGGGUCACCUUCAACGGCUACGUGCACUUCUUAUCCCUGGACGAGGACAUCGUGAUCAUGGUCUGCUUCGACCUCGAGACGGAGGGGUGGAAGGUGAUCCAAGGACCACCCGAUGUAUCCAGCCACACGUCGGGA